CUUUAAAAAUACGAAGGUUGUGUCAUUUUCGAUCAUUCAGUUAUAUUGCAGCUAUUAACUAUAGUCGGCCGAUCCUAAUGAUAUAUUAUAUUAAUAAUGUGGAUCCUAUGGGUUUACCAAAAAGAGAAUCUGCAUUAAGUCUGAACCUGAUAUGCAAAAAAAUACCAAAAAUUAUGCCAUUUCCGAUCAAUCAGUUAUGUGGCGGGUAUAGGAUAUACAUAGUUCCGACUUAUAUAUUGGGUGCAAAGAAAUAAAAGACUGAAAGACUUGAUUGCGUUUAAUAGUGAGAGAAACUUAGAAACAUGCUUAUUUCAUAUUCACUGCGUUACAUACUUUUGACUAAAAUUAUAAUACCUUCUGCAAGGGUAUAAUGAGCACUGUGAGUAUAGGGCUGAGCACACCUGGUGUUAAACAUUACGAGGCAGAGCGUUGCUGAGAUAAUGUGUUACGAAUAAAAUAUUUAAAGGCAGAAGUUAAAGGUUUUAAAAUAUAUCCUACAUUUUUGUAAAAGCAAACAACUUCUUUUAGUUGUUAAGUAAAUAUGCUUAACCAUUUUUUUGAUAAUAUUUAUAAUAUUUAUUUAAGCGGGGUUUAUAAGACUUAAAAAAAAAAUAUAUAUAAAAAAUUACAAAUGUGAAUAUUUUCUUUUUUUGAUUUCUAAAAAUAAAAAUACAAAUAGCCUAGUCUGAAAUAGUUUGAUGAAUCCAGCCAAGGUAUAUGCACCUUUUUAUUGGAACGGAAUCAUGGAUGGCUGAAUAAUAUAAUGUAUACAAUGUAUUGCUGUAUUUAUGCAUGUACAUAUACAAGUAAAUAUGUAUUCAAUAUAGAGAAAGGGUGAUACAAAUUUUAAUAUAAAUAUAUUAUAAAUUAAAAUCAUUAUAUUAUAAAAAUUAAAAUCUAAAACUAAAUUUAAUAGAAAUAAUUACAAUCA
This is a long non-coding RNA of Drosophila ananassae, 931 nucleotides long. RefSeq lists it as uncharacterized. The record is from RefSeq and is a predicted model, not a curated record. The transcript has 3 exons. Lineage: Eukaryota; Metazoa; Arthropoda; Insecta; Diptera; Drosophilidae.